RNAcentral lists this long non-coding RNA (788 nucleotides) under Fragaria vesca (wild strawberry). RNAcentral's name for it is "long non-coding RNA (FVES_LNC000154)". Lineage: Eukaryota; Viridiplantae; Streptophyta; Magnoliopsida; Rosales; Rosaceae. The record is from RNAcentral.
UGGGUCUUCGAGGAAGAACUUAAGCUCGGCCGCUCUGACGGCGGAGUUGAACCUCACCACCGGAGCUCUGGUCAUGCCGUCCUUGAGAAUGACGCAGUGGGCACCGCCGGAGGCGUAAAUGGCCUUGCAGCCUCGGUUGGUGCUGGCGACAAGGCAGCCUUCAGUGGUCGCCAUUGGGACAGUGAGCUCCUCGCCGUUGAGCAGCAGCGGUCCGGCGACUCCCACCGGAAUCUGCACGUACCCAAUCGGCAUCUCGCAGCACUGUCCGAGUAUGGAGUCGUAAUCGAAGCCUUCCAAAGGCAGUCCCUCCAGCGAACGACGCGUCGUCCGCUGCAGUGCCUCUCGCCGUAUGCCGGUGGCUCUCCGGCAGUCCCCGAGAUUCGACUCCAGAGUGUACGACGGAGUCGCUCCGGACACUACGGAGUUAAUAAUCUCCUCGUCCUCCUGCUCCGGCAUGGCCGGAACAGAAAGAUGAGAAAUAUUAAUAGGCAUUACUAACCGCGACCCCGACCCCUUGACGACGUCGUUUUGUCGACGUGUCGGCCUAACGACUUCGUUCCAGGGGUCGUGGGGAGCGCGGGGGUGGACGAAGGACUGGACGAAGUCAAUGCCGAAGAAGCCGAGGAGGUAGAUGACGGAGGCGAAGAGGGAGAAGAGGGCGACGAUCUCGGAGAGCGUGACGACGUGGAGAGGAGUGGAGGAGCGGAUCUUCUCGCGCCAACGGUGGAGGAGGAAGUAAGCGACGGUGAAGAAGAGCGUGAAGAACAAGCCGUUCGUCAAGUACAACG